GACGAACGCUGGCGGCGUGCUUAACACAUGCAAGUCGAACGGUAAGGCCCUUCGGGGUACACGAGUGGCGAACGGGUGAGUAACACGUGGGUGAUCUGCCCUGCACUUCGGGAUAAGCCUGGGAAACUGGGUCUAAUACCGGAUAGGACUCCUGGCUUCAUGGUUGGGGGUGGAAAGCUUUUGCGGUGUGGGAUGGGCCCGCGGCCUAUCAGCUUGUUGGUGGGGUAAUGGCCUACCAAGGCGACGACGGGUAGCCGGCCUGGGAGGGUGACCGGCCACACUGGGACUGAGAUACGGCCCAGACUCCUACGGGAGGCAGCAGUGGGGAAUAUUGCACAAUGGGCGCAAGCCUGAUGCAGCGACGCCGCGUGAGGGAUGACGGCCUUCGGGUUGUAAACCUCUUUCAGUAGGGACGAAGCGCAAGUGACGGUACCUACAGAAGAAGGACCAGCCAACUACGUGCCAGCCGCCGCGGUAA
RNAcentral lists this ribosomal RNA (478 nucleotides) under uncultured bacterium. RNAcentral describes it as "partial 16S ribosomal RNA". It matches the Rfam family "Bacterial small subunit ribosomal RNA", at positions 28 to 523 of the family's 1533-position model. The record is from RNAcentral.